This 253-nucleotide ribosomal RNA is filed under the name uncultured bacterium. RNAcentral describes it as "partial 16S ribosomal RNA". It matches the Rfam family "Bacterial small subunit ribosomal RNA", at positions 524 to 776 of the family's 1533-position model. The record is from RNAcentral.
UACGAAGGGGGCUAGCGUUGCUCGGAAUCACUGGGCGUAAAGCGCACGUAGGCGGGUCUUUAAGUCAGGGGUGAAAUCCUGGAGCUCAACUCCAGAACUGCCUUUGAUACUGAGGAUCUUGAGUCCGGGAGAGGUGAGUGGAACUGCGAGUGUAGAGGUGAAAUUCGUAGAUAUUCGCAAGAACACCAGUGGCGAAGGCGGCUCACUGGCCCGGUACUGACGCUGAGGCACGAAAGCGUGGGGAGCAAACAGG